This 460-nucleotide ribosomal RNA is filed under the name uncultured bacterium. RNAcentral's name for it is "partial 16S ribosomal RNA". It matches the Rfam family "Bacterial small subunit ribosomal RNA", at positions 338 to 795 of the family's 1533-position model. The record is from RNAcentral.
CCUACGGGAGGCAGCAGUGAGGAAUAUUGGUCAAUGGGCGCGAGCCUGAACCAGCCAAGUAGCGUGAAGGAUGACUGCCCUACGGGUUGUAAACUUCUUUUAUAAAGGACUAAAGUGAGGCACGUGUGCCUUUUUGUAUGUCCUUUAUGAAUAAGGAUCGGCUAACUCCGUGCCAGCAGCCGCGGUAAUACGGAGGAUCCGAGUGUUAUCCGGAUUUAUUGGUUUUAAAGGGUGCAGAGAUGGGUUGUUAAGUAAGGUGUGAAAGUUUGAGGCUCAACCGUAAAAGUGCAAUUGAUACUGGCAGUCUAGAGUACAGUUGAGGUAGGCGGAAUGCGUGGUGUAGCGGUGAAAUGCUUAGAUAUCACGAAGAACUCCGAUUGCGAAGGCAGCUUACUAAACUGCCACUGACAUUGAUGCUCGAAAGUGUGGGUAUCAAACAGGAUUAGAUACCCCAGUAGUC